GCCUUAGUAGCGGCGAGUGAAGCGGCAAUAGCUCAAAUUUGAAAUCUGGCGUCUUCGGCGUCCGAGUUGUAAUUUGAAGAAGGUAUCUUUGAGGCUGGCUCUUGUCUAUGUUCCUUGGAACAGGACGUCACAGAGGGUGAGAAUCCCGUGCGAUGAGAUGCCCAGUUUCGUGUAAAGUUCCUUCGACGAGUCGAGUUGUUUGGGAAUGCAGCUCUAAGUGGGUGGUAAAUUCCAUCUAAAGCUAAAUAUUGGCGAGAGACCGAUAGCGAACAAGUACUGUGAAGGAAAGAUGAAAAGAACUUUGAAAAGAGAGUGAAAAAGUACGUGAAAUUGUUGAAAGGGAAGGGCUUGAGGUCAGACUUGGUUUACCAGGCCAGCAUCAGUUUGGGUGGCAGGAUAAUAGCUAAGGAAAGUGGCACGAUUUCGGUUGUGUGUUAUAGCCUUGGUUGAUACUGCCUGCCUAGACUGAGGACUGCGUCUUUGACUAGGAUGCUGGCAUAAUGACCUUAAGCCGCCCGUCUUGAACCCGGGGACCAGAAAA
RNAcentral lists this ribosomal RNA (541 nucleotides) under Yamadazyma diddensiae. RNAcentral describes it as "[Candida] diddensiae partial large subunit ribosomal RNA". It matches the Rfam family "Eukaryotic large subunit ribosomal RNA", at positions 77 to 664 of the family's 3401-position model. The record is from RNAcentral. Lineage: Eukaryota; Fungi; Ascomycota; Pichiomycetes; Serinales; Debaryomycetaceae.